GCGGGCGUAGCUCAAUCGGUAGAGCAGCGGUCUCCAAAGCCGUGCGCUGGUGGUUCAAGUCCAUCCGUCCGUG
RNAcentral lists this transfer RNA (73 nucleotides) under Rhodococcus (subgen. Prescottella) equi. RNAcentral's name for it is "Rhodococcus hoagii tRNA-Trp". It matches the Rfam family "tRNA". From Rfam's summary of the family: Transfer RNA (tRNA) molecules are approximately 80 nucleotides in length. Their secondary structure includes four short double-helical elements and three loops (D, anti-codon, and T loops). The record is from RNAcentral. Lineage: Bacteria; Bacillati; Actinomycetota; Actinomycetes; Mycobacteriales; Nocardiaceae.